This is a long non-coding RNA of Sapajus apella (tufted capuchin), 333 nucleotides long. RefSeq lists it as uncharacterized. The transcript is spliced from 3 exons. The record is from RefSeq and is a predicted model, not a curated record. Lineage: Eukaryota; Metazoa; Chordata; Mammalia; Primates; Cebidae.
GGAACAUCCACUUGUUCCAGCUCACACCCUGCCAAUUGUUUGUGCAGCACCUUCACAUCCUGAAAACGACAAUACACAUCUUAGUUGGUUGAAUCCACAGAUGUGGAACCCAUGGAUGUGAAGGACCAAGUGUACUUUGUACCAGUGGUUCUCAAAGUGUGGGCCCUGGACCAGCCGCAGUAGCGUCACCCGGGAACUUGUAAGAAAUGCACAUUUCAGCCUCUGUUUCAGAUGGACCUAUCAGAAUCUCUGGAGGUUUCCCCAGGAGCACUUCCAUAGCACACGGCCCACAAGUGAAUGCUAGAUUUGGGCUUUGCUUCUGAGGAGUCCAGU